AUACGUAGGGGGCGAGCGUUGUCCGGAUUUAUUGGGCGUAAAGGGUGCGUAGGCGGCCUUGUAAGUCAGAUGUGAAAGAUCAUGGCUUAACUGUGGUAAGCAUUUGAAACUGCAGGGCUUGAGUACAGGAGAGGAGAGUGGAAUUCCUAGUGUAGCGGUGAAAUGCGUAGAUAUUAGGAGGAAUACCAGUGGCGAAGGCGACUCUCUGGACUGAUACUGACGCUGAGGCACGAAAGCGUGGGGAGCAAACAGGAUUAGAUACCCUGGUAGUCCACGCUAUAAACGAUGAGUGCUAGGUGUCGGGGGUCAAACCUCGGUGCCGCAGUUAACACAUUAAGCACUCCGCCUGGGGAGUACGGCCGCAAGGCUGAAACUUAAAUGAAUUGGCGGGG
This 392-nucleotide ribosomal RNA is filed under the name uncultured bacterium. Its description in RNAcentral is "partial 16S ribosomal RNA". It matches the Rfam family "Bacterial small subunit ribosomal RNA", at positions 523 to 918 of the family's 1533-position model. The record is from RNAcentral.